RNAcentral lists this ribosomal RNA (2652 nucleotides) under Escherichia coli. RNAcentral's name for it is "bacterial LSU rRNA". It matches the Rfam family "Bacterial large subunit ribosomal RNA", at positions 296 to 2925 of the family's 2925-position model. Lineage: Bacteria; Pseudomonadati; Pseudomonadota; Gammaproteobacteria; Enterobacterales; Enterobacteriaceae. The record is from RNAcentral.
AGCCCAGAGCCUGAAUCAGUGUGUGUGUUAGUGGAAGCGUCUGGAAAGGCGCGCGAUACAGGGUGACAGCCCCGUACACAAAAAUGCACAUGCUGUGAGCUCGAUGAGUAGGGCGGGACACGUGGUAUCCUGUCUGAAUAUGGGGGGACCAUCCUCCAAGGCUAAAUACUCCUGACUGACCGAUAGUGAACCAGUACCGUGAGGGAAAGGCGAAAAGAACCCCGGCGAGGGGAGUGAAAAAGAACCUGAAACCGUGUACGUACAAGCAGUGGGAGCACGCUUAGGCGUGUGACUGCGUACCUUUUGUAUAAUGGGUCAGCGACUUAUAUUCUGUAGCAAGGUUAACCGAAUAGGGGAGCCGAAGGGAAACCGAGUCUUAACUGGGCGUUAAGUUGCAGGGUAUAGACCCGAAACCCGGUGAUCUAGCCAUGGGCAGGUUGAAGGUUGGGUAACACUAACUGGAGGACCGAACCGACUAAUGUUGAAAAAUUAGCGGAUGACUUGUGGCUGGGGGUGAAAGGCCAAUCAAACCGGGAGAUAGCUGGUUCUCCCCGAAAGCUAUUUAGGUAGCGCCUCGUGAAUUCAUCUCCGGGGGUAGAGCACUGUUUCGGCAAGGGGGUCAUCCCGACUUACCAACCCGAUGCAAACUGCGAAUACCGGAGAAUGUUAUCACGGGAGACACACGGCGGGUGCUAACGUCCGUCGUGAAGAGGGAAACAACCCAGACCGCCAGCUAAGGUCCCAAAGUCAUGGUUAAGUGGGAAACGAUGUGGGAAGGCCCAGACAGCCAGGAUGUUGGCUUAGAAGCAGCCAUCAUUUAAAGAAAGCGUAAUAGCUCACUGGUCGAGUCGGCCUGCGCGGAAGAUGUAACGGGGCUAAACCAUGCACCGAAGCUGCGGCAGCGACGCUUAUGCGUUGUUGGGUAGGGGAGCGUUCUGUAAGCCUGUGAAGGUGUGCUGUGAGGCAUGCUGGAGGUAUCAGAAGUGCGAAUGCUGACAUAAGUAACGAUAAAGCGGGUGAAAAGCCCGCUCGCCGGAAGACCAAGGGUUCCUGUCCAACGUUAAUCGGGGCAGGGUGAGUCGACCCCUAAGGCGAGGCCGAAAGGCGUAGUCGAUGGGAAACAGGUUAAUAUUCCUGUACUUGGUGUUACUGCGAAGGGGGGACGGAGAAGGCUAUGUUGGCCGGGCGACGGUUGUCCCGGUUUAAGCGUGUAGGCUGGUUUUCCAGGCAAAUCCGGAAAAUCAAGGCUGAGGCGUGAUGACGAGGCACUACGGUGCUGAAGUAACAAAUGCCCUGCUUCCAGGAAAAGCCUCUAAGCAUCAGGUAACAUCAAAUCGUACCCCAAACCGACACAGGUGGUCAGGUAGAGAAUACCAAGGCGCUUGAGAGAACUCGGGUGAAGGAACUAGGCAAAAUGGUGCCGUAACUUCGGGAGAAGGCACGCUGAUAUGUAGGUGAAGCGACUUGCUCGUGGAGCUGAAAUCAGUCGAAGAUACCAGCUGGCUGCAACUGUUUAUUAAAAACACAGCACUGUGCAAACACGAAAGUGGACGUAUACGGUGUGACGCCUGCCCGGUGCCGGAAGGUUAAUUGAUGGGGUCAGCGCAAGCGAAGCUCUUGAUCGAAGCCCCGGUAAACGGCGGCCGUAACUAUAACGGUCCUAAGGUAGCGAAAUUCCUUGUCGGGUAAGUUCCGACCUGCACGAAUGGCGUAAUGAUGGCCAGGCUGUCUCCACCCGAGACUCAGUGAAAUUGAACUCGCUGUGAAGAUGCAGUGUACCCGCGGCAAGACGGAAAGACCCCGUGAACCUUUACUAUAGCUUGACACUGAACAUUGAGCCUUGAUGUGUAGGAUAGGUGGGAGGCUUGGAAGUGUGGACGCCAGUCUGCAUGGAGCCGACCUUGAAAUACCACCCUUUAAUGUUUGAUGUUCUAACGUUGACCCGUAAUCCGGGUUGCGGACAGUGUCUGGUGGGUAGUUUGACUGGGGCGGUCUCCUCCUAAAGAGUAACGGAGGAGCACGAAGGUUGGCUAAUCCUGGUCGGACAUCAGGAGGUUAGUGCAAUGGCAUAAGCCAGCUUGACUGCGAGCGUGACGGCGCGAGCAGGUGCGAAAGCAGGUCAUAGUGAUCCGGUGGUUCUGAAUGGAAGGGCCAUCGCUCAACGGAUAAAAGGUACUCCGGGGAUAACAGGCUGAUACCGCCCAAGAGUUCAUAUCGACGGCGGUGUUUGGCACCUCGAUGUCGGCUCAUCACAUCCUGGGGCUGAAGUAGGUCCCAAGGGUAUGGCUGUUCGCCAUUUAAAGUGGUACGCGAGCUGGGUUUAGAACGUCGUGAGACAGUUCGGUCCCUAUCUGCCGUGGGCGCUGGAGAACUGAGGGGGGCUGCUCCUAGUACGAGAGGACCGGAGUGGACGCAUCACUGGUGUUCGGGUUGUCAUGCCAAUGGCACUGCCCGGUAGCUAAAUGCGGAAGAGAUAAGUGCUGAAAGCAUCUAAGCACGAAACUUGCCCCGAGAUGAGUUCUCCCUGACUCCUUGAGAGUCCUGAAGGAACGUUGAAGACGACGACGUUGAUAGGCCGGGUGUGUAAGCGCAGCGAUGCGUUGAGCUAACCGGUACUAAUGAACCGUGAGGCUUAACCUUACAACGCCGAAG